UGCCUGGCUAAUUUUGUAUUUUUAGUAGAGAUGGGGUUUCUCCAUGUGUACAGGCCUGUGCAAGUAUUUGAGUAACCUGUUUUCAACUCUUUUGGGCAUGUGACUAAAAGUGGGAUUGCUGGGUCAUAUGAUAAUUCUAUGUUUAAUUUUUUGAGGAACUGCCAAACCAAAAGGUCCUUUUCAAAAGUGAAGAAAAUCUUCUGAAAAGCAUCCCCGGAAGACUUCCUCGACACCUUACUGGCCAGAAUGAUGUCACUUCUCCAUGCCUACAGCGUGGUCUUGGCAAGGAGAGUGAUAUUACCAAGACUGGCUUAAACUGAUCAAGACUCAGUUUCUGUACUGGAUUGGCACCCAGUCACCUCUGAAUGACACUGUCGCUUGGAGGAGGGUCAUUUCUAGAAGGUGGUGACACAGCUAGGUGAGUUCUCUGUCGACCACCCCCUCCCCCAACAUUAUUAGAGCAAUUUGUGUUUCAUUCAAGGGCGUAAUCUAGUCUGUUCCAGCAGCCAGGCAGCCUUCCCUUUAGGGGUUGUGUAGCUGUCUUUGUUCAUUGGUGUGUUUAUUCUGCAAACAUCUGUCUUAAUAAAGAAGUGUGGGAACAAGAGUCAUGACCAACAGCAAGAGGAUAAAGGCUGUGUGAAGUGGAAGCUCAAGAAAUAUCGGAGGAGGUGUCUGGCACAAUGGUGCAUGCCUAUAAUACCAGCACUUUGGGAGGCUGAGGCAGGAGGAUCACUUGGAUCAGGAGGUCAGGAGUUGGAGACCAGCCUGGGCAACAUGGUGGCGUGUGCCUGUAAUCCCAGCUACUC
Molecule: long non-coding RNA, 806 nt
Filed under: Homo sapiens (human)
Lineage: Eukaryota; Metazoa; Chordata; Mammalia; Primates; Hominidae
Description: non-protein coding lnc-KNTC1-3:1
Source: RNAcentral